Long non-coding RNA from Aedes aegypti (yellow fever mosquito), 515 nucleotides. RefSeq lists it as uncharacterized. The record is from RefSeq and is a predicted model, not a curated record. The transcript has 2 exons. Lineage: Eukaryota; Metazoa; Arthropoda; Insecta; Diptera; Culicidae.
UCAACCUGUCAACAACCGUCGACCAAAAAAACAGUUUGUUGAGUUUUAGAUCACCGCGUCAAAGCUUGGUAUCCGGAGAGCGUAAAAAUCUGGAAAACAACAAAAUUUUGAGCAACGAAUCUUCCAGAUUAAUAGAGCAGAACCAACAUCUGGAACUACCGCAGAAGAGGAAUAUAAAUAACCGGAAAAAUGUUCUCCUGAAGUUCCCCUCCUCCAUGAUCUGUUUGGUUGAUUUGGUCUACCGUCGCCACCUGAACUUGGUAAUCAUGUGCAUAAGAAGUAAACAAUAUGCCCGGAACCGGGAAGUUUGCGCAGCAGGGACAAUCAAGCGCUGUGCGAAUAUAUUCUAUAGACAUCGGUGGUCAACGUUGUUCCUGGUCGGGCGACCUUAUGUGGAUGAAAGUUCGACUUGUGUUCACCAAGUGCAGGCCAUAGGAUGAAUGAUGUGGAGGAUUCCACGGUUUAACUUUAAUGUAAUCAUUAAAUAUAAUUAAAUAAAGAUGUUUAUGGGUAAA